AGAGAAGAGCCUGGACUUCUGGUGAAGGAAAAGGUAAGCCCACAACUUCACUUUGUCCAAGUAAACGUGGAGAAAAUUAAUUUUGGAGAACAAGACUAUCAGAAAAACUUAAAAGGUAAGUUGAUGGAAUGGGAGGGGGCAACAGAAGACUUGUCUGUUCAUACACAUGCUAGGUUUUCAGUACAUUUAUAACCGGGGAUGGUCUUAACUUCUUUGGAAUGAGAAUGUUUUUUUGUUUUUUGUUUUUUUUAAUAGAGGUAUAUGUGCAUGAAUGAGAUGAAACUGCAUAGUAAACAUCGUUAAUUGUUAUUCUACUUGUCCCAAGACUAGUCAGCUACUUAGAAAGUGGGAGUCUUAGACGUCUAAGUAUUAGAGAUUGAGCAAAUAUGCAUUUAUGAAAAUAGUUCCUGUGUUGCAAAAAGCAAGUCUGAAGGAAAUACAGUGUAGAACUAAUGAAAUCUGUGAGCUGAGAGCAAAUGUAGCAAAGAAAGCUAAAAAAGACAAGCCAGCUUUUGAAGCAACCACAUGGAUUACAUCAGUUGCACCAGAGGAUGAAACAAAGCAGCUGAAGCUAGCGCAGUCAUGUCUUCAUUGCACUGCUUUCCCAAACAGUCUAAAUUAAGAAAUCAUACUUAGGAUGUUUAUUCUACAAAUACCUGCAUUCAUUUAAAUACACAGAUAGUUCAUUUCAAAUAUUUCUUGUUUAAUGCAUAUUUCACUAACUUGUCAGAAGUCAAAGAAAGAAUACCAGUUGACAGAGAGGAAAAAUGUCAGACAGGAAAGUCUGAAUUUUAUGAAGAUUGUACACCACUUGAGCAAACAAUUAAGUAACAGAAUUAAGUAUCUUGAUCACACUUUGUAUUGAACUACUUGUGCCGCUUUAUAGGGUUUGGACACUGAAAUAAACAAUAAUGAAUAAUAAUCAUCAUCGCCACAGGAGCAGGCAACACUACCUUAAUAGUACAUUUUAUUUUCAAUUAAAGGCUUAGGUGUUUUUUCUUAGGCCAUGUAAGCAGCAAUGUGUGCCCAGCUGAAGAGAUUUACUGCCUAAAUCACAGAGGAGUUCUUGUGUUUGUUUUUUCUUUCCAAAUAAGAUAAAGACAUUGCAAUUCCUGUGAUCAAGUACUAACUACUCAUUUAUUUAGAACCAUUUCCAAAGAACACUGUAUAGCUUCAAAGAAGAAAAUAAGCUCUUUUUGGAGACCAAGUUGCCACAUUGUGUUUUGAUAAGGACAGUAGCUAGACUCCCUACACAAGCAACAAAACAUGCAGGUAUUUUCUAAAGAAACUGCUAGUAAAAGGGUCUGGAUGGAGUUUGCUGGAAGGUGUAAAUACAAAAAAAGUAAAUAUGUUGUGUCAAACUCCUCCCAGCUUCUUUACCAGAAUGGUAAAACAAAGAUAAGCCCUAAAAAUUAUAGUGUUUUUAAACUGAGCUUUUACUCAAAUCCUUUUACUGAAAUAAUUCUUCUAAUGAAAGUGAGACAAAAAACCAGUUUAAAACCUUGCACUUAUUUCUCGUGCCAGGGAAAAUUUGGGAACUUUAUUUUUUUUUCCCCCUAAUAAAAGAGAAUUGGGAUAUAAAUUUCUCACUGAGAAUACAGACAGGAUAGACAAACAUCCUGGAUACACCAGACUCGUCCAGCAGCGCUGUUGCUCAGUAUGUGAAACAGUAAUAAGUGGCUGGCCAAAUAACAUCUCAUCACAAGGGCAAACUUCAGAUAGACUUGCUAUCUACAUCUUUGCUUACCUACCUACAUUAUUUCAUCAGAAAACUGCUUCCAGAAAAAAAAGGAAAACCAUAAACAGGUGAGGGAGAACACAACUGAGUAUUCUGAGCAAUUAGGGCAAAUACUUUAAGCCAAUGCUGCAGUGUUUGGGCACCAGCUAAAGCAAUCCUAAUCACAAAAGAGUAAGAUCAGAAAGCAAUGCAGAGUCAGGCCAUGCUAGAAGAAAAAACAACAUAUAGACACAACAGGAGAGGAAGAACAAAAAUGCAAGCCAGUCCUGACAGGACACAGUACCUUGGACAUUAAGACACCUACAGGUUUCUGUCCCACACAGUAGCUAGGGUCUAAGCUAAUAGACCAGCUGUGCUUUUUGCUAAGCACACCAGUAGCUAGAAAGGGGUUGAGGGAAAUCAAUUCAUUUUAAUAUGUAUCUCCUGCGCUGCAUGACUGCAUGUUUCUAUUUUGUUGCCUUUUGAAGUUUCAGUGAUUUUUAUGCUUUCACAUCCAUGAUCUUUCAAUGACAGACUGCCACUACUGUCUUUACUUCUGGUCUUUGUGCAUGCCGCUAGAUAAAAUCAUCCUAUUGUUGAAGGCACGGCCAGACUAGAGCUCCUACCUCAGAAUGUUCCUAAAUACUCCUAGGAAAGUAGCAAACUGGAGGGUUGAAUUGGAAACACUAAACACCUACCACAAACCACAAUCACCUUCUGACCCAAGUUAAAAGGAAAUGUGUUGAAUGCAUUUUAGAGAUGCCAAACAGUAGAUGAAACAGCAGAAAAAAGUCAACAAUAAAUUCAAUUUGUGAAACACCAGCAGCAAAGUGCAGUAAAAGACUGAGCACAAUAUUACCAUUCCACGUUCCUCAUCCAUAGUUCAAGUGAGAGUUCAAGAAGUUCAACAGUCAACCGAAAACAGUGCAGAGAAAGAAGCAUUCAAGUUUGUCAAAGGUACAACAAACAAGUGGUAAGUAGAAUCCCAGUAAGUCUGUAAUUAAGUUUCUAAUUGCUAAGUAUUUUGCAGAUCAGGGAAAGGAUGCUCCUGGAGAUUUCCAAGCCUGAGAUCACCUAUUUCAAAAGCUAACUUUCCUCACCACAGCCCGGUUCCUAGCACAUUUUAAGGAAUAGGCAGGGUAGUUGCAUCAGGUGUCUGUUCUGAUAUAAAAUACCUAUCCUUACUGAAAUUAUGUUUCUUUGGCUCUGGGCAACAUACAUAAGCAUUACAGAGGAUACCACUAAAACUGUUGUGAUAAGCUACUUUGUUUUCUUUCUCUGAUCUAGAUAGCCAGCAGAUCAGAAUGUGUAGUUAAUCAACUAGAUUUUACUCUUGUUCCUUUUGAUUUAGAGGACUACAGUUAAGUUAACCAACAUGUCAAAAAAAAAGUACGUUAAAAACUUACUCUAAUUGUUGAUAAAAAAGGGGCUAUUUUUCUUCUUUUUUUCUUCCUCUGCCUGUGCCUCCCUCACAUUCCCCUUCAAAAAAGCAAUCGUAUUCUAUUUCACCAAGUCUUCCUUCACAACUCAUUGCUUCUAACAAAGACCCUUUUUUCUCUGUUUGCAGUCAGCAAUUAUAUCUGCCUCUUACAGCAUGAGGCAUCAGGAAUAAGCAUUUAUAUUUCCAGACCUAAGCAAAUCGUUUGUUAUUAAAUCCUCAAACCCUCAAAAAUAAUACACACCAGAAGAUUAACUGGAAUAAUACUUUCUCCAAUCUGUAGACAGCUGAAAGUCUUUUUCUCCCUUUGCACAUGUGCACAGAUGCACCAAUUUUCUCAGAGUAAGUUUUCCACUCUCCCAGAUAGCCAACCUCACUGCUCUUUCUCAUCAAGUUUCUCUGUUUUAAAUCCUAUGCAAUAUCUUCUUGUAUACUGAAGGCGUAUCAGCACAUGCAACAUUUUGUUGCCAUUCACAUAUUUUACAAGCUUCUGACCAACCGUCUGGGGUAAGUUGAAUUGUUUUAUUCACUUCCAUCCGUACCCCUAAACACUCUUGCUAUCACAAACACUUGCACAAUGCUGUGCCGUCCAGCUUCACUCUUUUGCUAGACUGAUAGCCUUAGAACCAGUUAGUGGGGAGGAACUUACACUGGUCACUCGACGGUAGAUCUGCGCGGCAUUUUGGCACUCAGAAUAAGGAUACUCGGACGUUGCCAUCUCUAGCAUACACAUCCCAAAAGCAUAUACAUCAACGGAUUCAUCAUAUUUCUCCUCAUACAUCUCGGGGGCCAUGAACUCUGGGGUACCUUAAAUUAAAAGAACGAUUCAGACUCUAAAUGUCUCAAAGCGAGCAGAGGCUGCUGGCGUUACUCACCGCAGGAGGAAGUGGAUGGGCAGACCUGUGAGACAAAAGAAAGUGGAGGCAAAAAGAAGAGGGAGGAAACCCUUAGUCACUCUGUUUUAUCAAACCACUCUGCGAGUGUUCCAUUGCAAGGUCUUUACGGAAUAAGAAUGGCAUGAAAGGGCUGAUGUAGUUCUCAUUUUAUGCAUGUUAGUGCGAGGACCAAAACAGACUGAAUCAGGCAUCAAAUGGAGGGAAAGGGGAUAAGGAGAAGGGAAAACAGACUAGCCAUAGGCUACAAACCAAAUACUAAGGAAAGUUAAGACACUUACCUUUUCUCCCUGUAAGAAAGGAGGCACAUUAAACCUGGUUUCAAGAAUUACCUGACCGCCCUCUGCUGCAAAAGAAGUAGUACUGGUAAGAGCCCACAGCUAGUCUCUGUCCUAGCGCUCUCCACCUACUUUUUGAAGUAGAAUGGUUCAGGAAAGGCCUUGCAAUGAAAAACUCUUUUUGUUAAAAGAAAUAUAAAUCUUCAUGAUAGAAAAUGAAAAGUAAUUUUCUGCAAAGGCCACUCACCGGAGCCCUCUUCUUCAUAUACUUACCUUCUCACCUGCAGUAUAUUUAUAGGCCUACUGCAGAUACAGGCAUUAGUGAGGAACAUCCUACAGUCAAAAAUACUUAGAAAUACAGAGAGAUUGAGUUACAAGCAUAGAGCGUGAGAUUCAACAAGUCCCAUUUAAAUAGUUUGCAGAAAAUUUUUGCUCAGAGAAGCAUCACAGCAUCCCCUCUGUAAUCAAAGGGACUGCACUGUAUGAUCAAAGACAUAAGUUUGAUUCCAUAAAUUUAAGCACAGAAUUAUUUCCUGCAGAUACCAGAUUCAAGAUGGUUUUAUAGAUCAGUGAACAGUCACAUCUGUUUUCACCACACAAAAUGAUAAAAGAGAAUGCCACUGCAGCCAUUUAUCCAAAGGCAAACUAUUAACACACAAAGUGAUAAUUUUGUAAUAAUAAAUUUGAAGAAAAGGGGAGCACACUUAAGAAAAAACUUUUUUUUUUUGGACAAUGUGUAUUUUUUAUCCUUUACUAUUGUUUUGACCUGGUUAAGAAGCAGGAAAUAUUUCAGCAAUCACUUCCAAGAGAGUUUAUGGGUAUACAUUUUUGAUCCCAUUUGGGUAUCUAAUAUAGGACUGUUGAGCAAUAUUACGUUUUAGCAAGCUUAGACACUAGAAAUAAAAGCAAUUUCAUUCCUUGAAGCCUACUUGUCCAACUAUAAGAACAAAGCUGAUAAAACCAUUUCUUUAAAGAAUUUACAAGAAGAACUGUACUAGAUCUAUCAAUCCAAUAGCUUAUUUUCUGAAAAUGGUCAUUAGUGGAUACACAAGAAUAGAGCAAGUACAAGACAAUACUUCCCCAAUGCAUCCUCCUAACUUAAUGUAAACCUGCAAGUCCAGUGACUUUCUGAUUAAAACACUAUACUCCAGUCCAACUGCAAUAUAUUUUGACUUUCUUUAAUACAUCUUAGCUUUUGCUUAUUUGCCAAGUGUAAGACAUUUAAUAUUAGCACCUGGUGACAAUUGAAAAAAUUGGCUGUAUAAAUUAAUGCUUAACUAAACAUCAAGAUGCUUGAUAGUCACCAAAACCCAUUUGCAUGUUUCUUGAAGAGACGUAUAAUUCUCACCUUUCAUAUGUAGUUAAAAAUGGUUUUAUCAACAAUGUUGCACAAAACUGUUGGGCAAGGCAAUAAAUCUAUAUUCUGAAAUACUUUAAGUUACUAUACAGAUAUAAAACACAUAUGCAGAAUUUCAUCACGUCAUCUCAUCAGGAACUCCAACUGACCUCAAAAGCCAAGAAAUAAAAUCUACACAUCUUCAGGCUUAGAUCGUGUACCUUUGAAACCAUACUUAAAAGGAAAGCCCUUAAGGUUCAAACUCUCAAGUAUAUAGACCGGCUCAUCAGCCUUCUAAACAGUAGAGACUUACCUAUCACACUUUUGGCAAAAGAAGCUCGCUUCAGGGUUGCCAGUCCAAGGUCUCCAAUCUUGACUGAACCGGUGGGGCCAGUAAUGAAGAUGUUGUCACAUUUUAAGUCUCUAUGAAUAAUGGGAGGAGUGCGUGUGUGUAGAAAUUGUAAGCCUUUCAGUAUCUGACGACACCAGCUUCGUAGUACUUUGAUUUUCAUCACUUUAAAUCUCUUCAGAUACCUAGUGAAAAAUAACAGUACAUUAAACGGGCUCUAGUGUAAGCCACUUGUAUUUCAAAAUUAAGUUCUGCUACCAAGUAGCAGAUUAUGCUGUACCAUUUGCUGUUCUGAAGUGAGAAAGUAGUAGCUAAAGAGACUGAGAAAUUUUAAUUUCAUCUAUUUUAAAAAAUACCUGUGCAGUUCAAAAAUCAAAGAGUUGAAGAUGGAUCCCCCUCCCAGAAAGAAAAACUGCCCUACAGAAAAUUUCUACCUACUUCCUUCUAACCACAAGACUAUAGCGCUGAAAGUUAAAAAAUAAAUUAAUUAUUAAAUUGAAUUAUCAAAAUAUUUAAAAAAACAAUCUGCAUACCAAGUCAACCUUAAGAUAAUUAAGCACUCAGCUUGCUAAGUUUCAAGGCACUGCUUCCCCAACAAACAGUUAAAAACGUAUGCAUUACAAGCCUUUAUCUACUUAUUUAAGAGGAUUGCCUCCCCCUGCAUUUUAUCCUAUCAUUGCUUAAAUAGUUAAAAUCUUUUCCUUGGUGAAUUAUUGGGAAGAGAGCAGUAUAGACAAAGAUGCUAAUAAAGAACAGCCAAGCACAGAGCUGCUGCAGACCAUGCAAGAGUUACAAAGUCAUACUACCUUAGUUAUCAAUGUUAUUCCAACUACUUUGACCAAGUAUUCCAGAUUAAGUAUUCCAGAUUACACUUUGAACCUACAUCAAAUUUACUUGAUCUCACAGUUGAUUUGCUUGACAACACUUCCCUGGUUCUGUCCCAUAGAGGAUGUGACUAUCUGAAUCUGAUCAGUUAAUACUCACCAUGUUAAAACUACGGAGAGGAAAAGAUCUUUAAAAUGAUUAUGCUAACAGAUUGAUGUGGGAAGUACAUACACAACAUCAGCAUCCCUUUGCAGGCAAAACAUGACCCAGUCCUAACUGUUCUAAUAUUGCUGCUUUCUAAAUGUCAAGAGAAAAUUCACACACAAAAAAAUUAUUUUCCAGUCUUUGUGACACAAGAGUGUGAUCUUAUCCUACUAAACUUUGAUAGAUUAAAGAUGUCAUAAAGUGAAUGACCUAUGACCUAUUCAAGUGUUUUCCAGCUGUGUAUUCUCACACACCCUCUUCAGAUAGAAGUGUUAGUUUAAAGAAAGAGUUCCUUUCUUCCUUUUUAAAAAGAUAGUGCUGAAAUGCACUUAGAGAAGGAACUGAUGAAACGGUACACUGCAUACAGCAAUAAUUUUAUUCUUAUGUGGCCAAGGUUACUCAGUUCAAGUCAGAUGAGUUUUAUACUGCCACAAGACUGGUGGUAAAUUCUGUGACCAGGAUGGAGUUCAGCAGCUACAUACUUAAAAUCAAGUCAGGUUCAAUUAUUCAAUGGCAGUGUUCAGCCUUUGGCAUACCCAUAAGAUUACUCGCAUCAACACCAGCAUAAAAACUCCAUAAUUAAACUCCUGUUGCUUUAAAUUUCUCCAUUUCAGAGGAAGAUCUGGAAAACAAAUUGCUAGCAAUAAUUCUGCAAUGAAAACAAAACUGUAAAAGCAAGCAGGACCCAGUUCCAGAAGGAGUCUUGAAACAGAAUGUAAAGGCGGACAGGGAAAAAGCCAACCCAAGGAAGGAGACAAGCUGAAGGAAGUUCUGGAUCACAUCAGCUACCACUUGAAUUCUUGCUAUUGACACAAUCCUCAUUCAUCACUCUUGAGUCUGUUCCAAAGAUCACAUGGUAGGGGCACUUCAGUUCAGCAUCUGGAAUCCCUAAUUACAUUCUUGGUUUCAAAUAUGCUAGUCUACUGCCAGCUUCUCACUGUUAAAGGAUCUGGGUCCAACCAUUACCCAGCAUCCUGCAGCGUUGCUGUAAUUUUUCCAUAACACUGUCAUAAACUAAGUCACAUGCCACUUAAGGUAGAAAGUAUUUUAAAAUGGAAAAAUAUAUAAAUACUUAGAAAUACAUGGCAGCCCUAUUAGCCUAUUAGGUUUUAAUCUUCCAAGUAUUUUACAUACAGUAAGUCAGGAUUGAGAAGACCUCGAGAGGUCUCUAGGCUAAGCUUCCUUUCCACAUAGGGUCAGCCAGGAAGUCAGAUCAGGUUAAUUUGGGCUAUAUCCUGUCAGGUCUUGAGUAUCUCCAAGGAAGGAGACAGCACAGCCAUUUGGGGCAACUUGUUCCACUGCCUGACUGUCCCCAUUGUCAAAAAGUUUCUUAUUACACCCAGUCUGAAGAUCCCUAGUUUCAGUUUAUGCCUGUUACCGCUAAUCCUCCUACCCACCAAGCACCAGCAGAAAGAGCCUAUGACUUCUUCAUAGGCACUAGAAGACUGCUCUUAGGUCACUCCUAAAGGUUCCCCUUCUUUAGCUCAGUUUUUCCAGCUCAUAAUCACACAGCAGGUGCUUCAACCCUUAACAUCUGAUGACCUCCACUGAACUUGCUCCUAGCUGAUCAACAUCAUUCUUCUCUAUUUAACAAGGUAGUUGUCAAUUAAAGAUAGGUACUUGAUCGUAGCACAGAAUACAAGCAAAGAUGAGAAAACAAGGCUUUCCUGAUAGUUAUCUUCAACAGAGAAAAGUAGGAACUAGAGUUUGAUUUUCUGUCUCGCAAUUUUGUUUGUAUGGAUUUUUUUUUUUUUUAAACCAAGAAGACUCGCAAUCUAUCACAGCAUCUCAUCUCAAGGAGCUAGAAGAAAUCCUACUAAGUUAGCAGAAGCAGUUAUGAAGGUACAUGUCCUACCAGAUCAUUAAUACUUUCAUUUGAAGUGGAUCAGGAAUACAUAAUACAAUGGCCUUUGGAGACAAAACUAGAGGUAGACUAGACUUAAGUCAAAAAUUUAACAGUGUAAUUAAGACUUAAAAUAGAGAAUUCAAUUUUUCGCAGUACUUUAAGUCUGUUAAUACGUAAAUGUUAGAAAGCAAAUUCUUACAAUAAUUGAGUUGUAAAGCUUUUUCAUUGGUAUGUAGAAGUUCAGGGACUUUUCUUCGUGCAAAACUAAAAAUCUUCCCAGGCAGCAUUUUAAAAGGAUGAGUUCACAAUAUUGCAUACACAAAUACAAAAGGACAUCGUGAAAAGAUACUCCGGGAUAACAUUACACAUCUCACGUUUUGCUUGUUUGUUUUUAAUAUCAAGUGGCAACAAUGGCUAUGGCUCAGGAUGAGGAGGAUACCACUUGUUUUAAAAGCAGGUAGUAUAAACACACUGGAUAAAUAUGGAAGUAAUACUCAUUCAAACUCCAUAUGCUAAAAAUAAGUGAGCAGUAUGGGAACAGGAUAUAAAUGAAAUGCAUAUUGUUAUUAAGUUUGGUAUUUCAGAAAUUUCUCAUGCAGUUUACCUGUCAUGUCUCCAGUGAAGGGCACAAAAAUAAACUGAAUUACAAACAAAGUACACAACAGUGAAAAAAAAUAAAGUAUAUUAUUUAAACGAUAGCCAAUUAAAAAGAAUAUUAAGCUUUUCUUUCCUGGAUUAAAAAAAGACCUUCAUACUUCAGAGUACAAAACAAUCUCACAGCUAGUAAAUCUUAAGUAUUUCUUCCUAUCAAGACAUUAUCUUAUUGUCAUCUGCUUUUACUUUAUCUUGCUUAUGCUACUUCAUAACCAAGCAAUCCAAACAUUAAAUCUAUGGGGGAAAGAACAGAGUAAGAAAAAGAGGAAGAGUUAUAUCCAACCCUAUAUACGCUACUAUGAAAAUAAAUCCCUGUAAAUAGAUGCAUCUGUACAAAGCUGUAAAACCUCCGUACCGCUCUAAGUACAGGACAUGAGUAACUGAUCUAUUACUUUAUCUGAUAUACCUUAAACAAUCUCAGAAAAGCCCUUCAUGGACACACAGAUAAAGUUCAACUUCUUUAAUCCUCCAGCCCUAUUUCAAGAAAGAAACACAUCCCUAUAAUUACAGUUCAGACUCCCAAGAGCACAUUUUUCCUGUUUCAAGCAUGUCCAUUUGUGGCAAUCAACAAACACUGCAAAAAAACCCACAAGUAGUUCACAGCCUAUUUUAACCAAAGUUCCUACAGUCUAUUCACACAUUUAGGAUUUAAAUGCUACUCCAAGAUUUAAGUGGGCACCAAAUUAAGACACCACUCACGAAUUUUAAGUCAUGGCAGCUUUAUUUCCAGUAGCUUAACAGCGGCUGGAUGCUCCUGAAGAAACUCACAUCUCUUCAAGACUUUCAGUGUAAGGCUAAAGCAUGAUUUCAGUUCAACUCCCUCAGCUUUACGUACCACUAGAGGGCCCUCACAGCAAUUUGAAUCACUAGUUUCCAACUGGCUUAAAAAUAGACCUAGCUUCACUCAAUUACUUCACAGGUCAAAACUGUAAAUGCUUUCAAGCUUUUCUAAGUUACUACCUCAUGAAGUUUUAACUAAAAAGAUGCAUUUUGGGGACUUUUUUCCUUCUUUUUACUGAUUAUUGGUACUGUAGUAACACCCAAUGCUUCCCAAACAAGCUGAAUCGAUUAGUGCAUUGAACUCUACAAAAUACCUCAUGCCAAAUGGAAGGAAGCUCAGGAGGAAAACGAAGGGUACAGAGAAACAGCAUACUUACUGAGCUCACAAAAUCAGAGAGUUCUACAUGUGCUUACGAGGACAUCACAAUGAAGAAUCAGACAAGUUUGCUAACAUAAAGAAUGGUCCAUUUUACCCUGCAGUGCUAAUAAAACUCUCCCUAAAGAAUUCCCCUGCAGAAGUUUAGCCCCCAGUAAAAGGUCUCUGUCCUUACCUAUUUUGAAUUAUCACCUACUUCAAGUGCUCUAAUUUUGUGAUAAUGUUCAUCAAGUGCUUUGACAUGCUAGAAUUUACUUACGUUUUUAAUGUUCCAGAUGUCAUGAGUUCUGUCACAAGGACAAUACAUUUUUUUCCUUUGACUGUGGACUCCCAGGAAUCAUAGAACCUGACAAUAUUGGGAUGCUGAAGCCCUUUCAGCAUCCCAGCUUCCUCUUUAAAUCUUUGUCGCUCUGACUUGGAUAGCUUCCGAUCCUAAUGAAAAAGAAAAUAAAGCUUUGUUUUAUUUCUUAGAGAAACAGCAAAUUGAAAAACAGUUGUGUACAGUCAUUCAACAAGAAUCAGCAUCUUUUAAAUGCCAUUUUGUUUGCAGUUACUCAUGCAGUAACUUCUCUAUUUAGAAGAUACUCUAUCAGCUUUUUAUAAAUUAUAGUUUUCCUUACAGUAUGAUUGGGGAUUAUCUCCUAGUGCUAUUUCUUCCAUCCCUACUCCAAAGGGAUUGCUUGACUUGAGGCACAAAGGGGACAAUGUCCUAAAAUACUCAUGCAUUCAAGGACAGACAAAAAGGGAUCAUUUAAAGCACAUAUCAGAUUAUAGACACCAAUAAUCUUUAGUUAUUCCUUCAAGCAUAGAACCCACACCACUGGUAACAGACUGGAUUAAUUCUCCAUAUAGGUGGUAGAGCAGAAAACUUAACAUAUAGGAUGCAUGUAUAAUGGAAGACAAAUAAAUUUGGGUUGGAUUUUUUUUUUUUUAUUAAAAGCAUGACCUCACGAUUGAGCAAGCUCCCUGUAAUGUAGCAUCAAGGAAAACAAAGACAUAAUUCACACUAGAGAGACAGCAAGCUUUUGGCCAGAGACAAGUCAUGAAAAAGCUUUCCUGGACAAUACUGCUGUAUAUCUACCAACAGCCAACUAUCUAAUAUCUUCAAGAUUCUGACCAGCUGACCAGGAGUAAGUUGCAAAUAUGAAAAGUCUCCUUGCAUCUUUCAGCUGUCAGUUUACCAAUGCAUAGUAACACUAGUUUGGCUGAUCAACCGACAUAAAUCAGAUCCACAUGAAGAUAGCAUUAAAAACAUUUCAAGAUACACUCUAAGCCCAGAUUUUUACCGUGUUUCUACCAGCUAAUUAUGAAUAACCAGUGCCCCCUGUCAAAUCUGAGCAAUAAUUAAGUCACUCCAUUCCACAUUUACUUUCCAAGUAGAAGGCAGUAGAAUAAGCACGCAGGGUCUACUCAAACUGUUCACAGCUGUCCACUAGUCUGUAAUUCCUCUUCCUUUGUUAACAGUUAAUGUGUUUUCUCAAUACUACUCAUCCAUGUUAAUAUCUAAACCAUCCUCUAUUCACAGAAAUUAUCGACUUUUCCUAGGAGGCAUAGACUACUUCAUUCCCAGAUGAAGCUCCAAUUUUCAGAAGUGUAGGAGUCUUCCAGAUCAAGGAGGAGAAUAGGUCUGAAAUUACUUCAGAGAUCAGUGCUUUUAAGUGUCCAUCACUUACCAUAUAUUUAUGGUUGUUUAGGAAAACACCAAAUGCUUAAGUGCUACAAAUUAAUCAAUAGGUGUCAAAAGCAUUCAAUCCCACAACUAUUUCCCCCUGCAGAAAGCAGUGCUACCACUUCUCCUCACUCCUUCAGAAAGCAUACUUGCACAAACGUAAGUUUUGACAGAACGUGCUUGCAGAAACACUAAGAAAACAUGUCAAUAUUCACAUCUGCUGAGAUCUGGUGGUGUUUUUUGGUUGUUUUUGGUUUUUAUUGGGUUUCUUUAAUAUGGAAGUAGCGUUCCUAUUUGAGCUGUCUUACACAGCUAAUAGCUUUCUUUACAAUAUAGAACAGCGCAAGUUCUGUCCAAGACCAACUUGAUCCUGACUGCUACAAGCAGUAGUGAUGCAGAAAAGCAGUGAGCUGCUAUCAGCACAUCGAUCAAAAGAUCAUACACACAUGGUUUAAGGAUCUCAAUACUUUGAACAGAACACAUGAUCACAAUAAUCAUUCUCACAAAGAAAACGGAGCAGAUUAUUCCCAGCCUCUGCUCUUUAUGCAUAUAAUUCAUCUGUUUAGCUCUAUAUCCAAUUACUACUUAUGGUAAUUAUAAAACACAGGCUGUAACAAUUACUUAUUAUAUCGCUUAAAUUUAGCUAUGUAAUACGAACACCUACAUUUAUUUUUGUCCAAAAACCAGCCUGUAGAUAUACACUCGGAUUAAGUUUCCUGUAUUUUGUGAACUAACAAAUGUGACUAACCAAUUUUAGACUACACUUGACCUUAAGUUCUCAUCUAAACCCAAGUAUGCCCCAUCUCACUUUUAAGGGCCUCAUUGGGCUUUCCCUGUUGCUGUACUUCUGGUGCCAAAUAGAAGCUAACAAGUGCUAAUCGCUCUUAUCAAGGAGCAGACUCCUAACGGGCAUGCAUAUUUUGAGUCACUUCUCGUUCUGGUCACAUCAAUGGCAGCAUCAUGUUCCUGCAGACGUAUCUGUGACGUUUAAAACAGACACUCAACACUUCACUGCUGACAUUAACAGAAGGAAAAAAAAAGAUCCAGACAAUGACAAUAUAUUAACACAACACUUCUCUGGAAGCCACAGUGCCCUAAUGAUCUCAGACAAGUCUGGACACAAAUACAGGCCAAUGAACACAAAUUCCACCCAGAGAAAACAGCAAUAUUUCUGCAACCAAGGAAACAUCGCACCUUUUGGGAGCACACUGCAGCAGCCAAAGUUAAUGCUGAACGGAGCUGUAAGAAAAGGACAGAAGCCACUUGUUUCAUAAGACCAGCAAAGCAUACAGCCUUAACCUACCCUCAUUUCCUCGGUCCAUAUGCUCAUCUGUAACAGGUAUUUAUAUCUCUUUCCUUAAAGGAACACUAGUGCUAGGUAGCAGAAAAUGGUGAAUGUACUUGAAAAAGAAAACUAGCAGUCAACGCAUUAGACCUCACGUACAACCACACCAACAAAAUUCAUCUGUAUAUACAAUGACUGGUGGUUACACUUCUAUUAGCUACCUUCCAACACAACCUGCAAACAGCCUACAGGCUAAAUGCAAGGAAUGUAAGAGCCACCCUUGUUCCAGUUCUAUCCCCACCUCUAAAGAAACAGUACGAAGUAUCAUAGUAUCUCUCUCAAAAUAAGCUAUUACCUCUAAUUAAAUUAUAUCAAAGGUGAAUCAAACAAGAUCUGUACCUCCUGUGGCCUUUUUUCCCCACAGCUUGGGGUCUAAGUAGGUAUAGAUAUGGAAGACAUCAGCAUGUAUUUGCUGUUUCCAGCAAGCAGACCUCACAGCUUGACAUUCCAGUAUCCCAAAGCACAAGACUGGGUAAACAAAUGCAACGUUCUCUCUUUUAUUUUUAUUUUUCAAAUCAAACAAUGAGAAACAAAGCAAAAUACAAAGGCACGUAAGAUGCUUUUUCCAAAAUCUGAGAAAUUUUAUAAAGAAGAAAUCACUUCAAGGACUGUUAAUAAUAUAUGACUUGAUAUAUCUUAUCCUCCAAAGGCCAAUUUGUUUUGGAAUUUCAACUAAAAAUAAUAAUUAAAAAAAGAUUGGACGCCCUCCUUCCUCCCCCAGGCAUUCAUUUUGACCAUAUAAUGAAGCAACACCGGGGCAGACAAGACAAACUCUUAAGUCUUGCUGUUUGCAAAUCACAUUCUUGCAUCUCAGUUACAGCAAGUGCUGAGCUGAUAUAGCCUAAAUAUUUAAAAAUACACAAGCUGUCAAACUCCAAGAGAACUUGCUUCCUAAAAUGGACUUAACUACCUCAUAAUUUGGACGGCAUUGUUCUCCCUGAACCAAUAGCUUCCCUGAAGGACCGAAGUGUCACAUCCCAAUCACUGGGCUGCCCUUCCAACAAAUUGAAACAGAUGCACCGAGCCCACUUCGUUCAUUUCAUUCAUUCCUUUCCACCUACAUUAAAUUGUUUUGACAAGUCAGGACAAACAGCAAGGCUUCCCAGCACGUGACCUAUGGGUCUGCAGUGCCAGAGGCCUGAAUAGAGAGGCACUAAGUGAAACAAUUGUUCAGCUCAAUACCAUUCAAUAAUCUUUUCUUGACAGCUUUCAUUUAUCCACAUGUUUCCCUCUGACUUCUUUUGGUCAGGAAACAGCUAUCAGAGCUACUCACAUCAUUCAACGUAAGACAGGAAUCUCAGUCAGUUACAAUACGCCAGGUAUACGGGCUGAUCCUUUUGCUGAUGUAUGUAAUCUGGAAGAGCAUGAAUUACCCAGAACUGUUAGAGCCUGCCUUCUAUCCCUGUGCCUAGCUACCUUACGUAAAGGAAGAAGAAAUAAAGACAACUAAAACCAACCUCAUCACAGAUCAGCUUUUCUGCCAAGCCGCAGAAAAAAAAAGCACAUCAGCAAAAGUUAUCUAUACUCUCUCAGUGAUUUUUUCAGCCAAAGCUUAAUGUCUGUUCAGCAUCCUUCUGAAAGACGGAAAGAAAUACAUUUCCGACAUUUAAAUUAAUCUUAAAUUUCAACUGGGCUGCUCGUACACCAGUUAAAAGGUUCCACUGAGCAAUUUUUCCAUGUGUUCUCUUUCCCAACUUCCUGCGGUCCUCCCAGGCGUUGUCCCAAAGCACUGUGACAGGGACUGCACAGCACACCGGAUCCCGGAGCGGCCCCAGAACGACCCUUGCAGGGCGCAGUGCUCAUGAACUCAAAAAAAGGUCUCGCCCUCUGCCUUGCCUCGCUGUGCAUUUCUGCUACAUGGCCCCAAAGAGCACCGAGGGGGCCUGAGCUAAAUUACAGAACAAUUCAGAAGAAAAAUGUUUCAACGCAAUAAUACAACAGACCUCCAGAACUGCAUGUCAAAGACUGAGUUUUAGAUGUCGGUAAAAGCAACAGUGCCCUGCUAGGAAAACUACAGGCAAAUACUUCAUUAACAGAAUGAACUGACACACUCAAAUGAACAGCUGAGUGAGUGAUGUGCUAAACAACUUAAAGAGAAGCUCUCUCUUCCACAUAUUAGGAAGAUAUCAGGGAAGAAAGUAAUAGACUGAUUGCUUUACCUUUUACAGACAGGUUUUGCUCACUUUCUGCACAUCACACCACUAGAUCCAGAAAUUCUGCAUUGCUAUACUGCUCACAUAAGUACUGGGUUUGGAUUUUUGCUUUUUAUUUUUAAACUACGCUGGAGAUACACCAGCUAGCUUUUAUCUAAAAGAGGUGUGCUAGAAAAUACCAGACAAAUUAGUAGGAAUGAAUCUACUUCAAGUGAUGUGCUCUGACAACGUACUGCAGUGGCAGACUUCAAAGCGCUGGUGAAUUAUAGAUAAAGUGAAUCAUAACCGAGGUAAAUAAAAUAUCUAGCUCUGCUGAGGUUACACCAAGCAGCAUUUUAUCAAGCUUUCCAAGUAUCUGAAAAUCUGAGGGAAGUUACUGCAGCUCCCACCCUAUUAUUCAGAAAAAGUAGGAUACAGAACAGACAAGUGCUCUUCUGUGCGCAUUUCUGCAGGGUAUGAAAAAGGCUUUGGAAGCCUUUUAGGCAAGGUUAAUGAGGGGUCAUCAGAGGAGAAGCUAGCAAGACAGUGCUCUGAUAUUCAGUGCUGUUAAUGGAACCACAGCUUUGUGGGCUGCAGUGUUCUCAUUCUGAAAAAAUCUAGCAGUUAAGAGGAAAAAUGAGCACAGCGACCACUGAGCUAGAUUAACAAAAUAUCAACAAAGAAUUCACUGAGCUUAAACAUCAGCCAGUGUUACGCAGUUGAUACCUAGAAAUGGAAGUCUGAGUGCACAAGAACCGCCUAUUUUUGUGUCAACACAAACCACAUUAGAUUUCUAAAAUUAUAAGACAAGAUGGAAGGAGAGGGGGAAGAUACCAUUCAAAAUGCAUGUCUGUACACCAAAAGGCAUGAAAAUUGAGAUCAAGGAUCUCCACACAUCCUUCCACCUGCAUACCCUUCUACAAGCCACUGAACAUGAAAAGUAGAUUAAAUGCAGCUAAGCAGCUGCUGCUGCAAGAGGUUUUUUGUUGUUGUUAGGCAUGCACUUGCUCAAACAUUCCGAGCAUCUGAGCACCUGGUUUGAGAGUGUAAUUGUAUAAUAUAAUGUUUAUAGAGCUAUAUAAACCUUUAGCUAACCACAGAGUGAAGAAUCAGGUCUGCAAACCUAAGAGAAGACUUUUCAAGCAACUCCUGCUUCAUGCAUUCUCCUUGCUACAGCUCUCCUACCUUCCAGUAGUACAGCCUUUUGCAAGCAAGUCUCUACAACCUAAGACUGUAGUGGUUGAUUCCAUAAUACGUGUCUGGUAAUACUUGGAGGGCUCUCAGCACACUGGAGAAGACUGUUGGCUGCCCAAGUUGCCAGCUGCUGAAUAAGCAAUACAUUAGGACUGUGCCUACUGAGGCCAGUGCUACAUUAAGAUACCCCAAUUUAGUACACAAGAAGUCACCGUAUCAAGAGUUGCCAGAACACAGCUGUCAGUGCUUCCAAACUGCACUCCAUGCACAGGUGGAGCAGUAUAUUAAAACAGACACACACACACACUGUUCUUUAGAUAAGUCAAAUGCUAUUUCUGCCAAAAAUACACACACGCAUUAACCAAAAGACAAGCCAAGAAUAAAACAAACCAAAAAAGCUACUCUCCAAAGAAAGACAAAGCUAAGAAAAGAGUCAGGCUUCCUCACCAUAAAACCACAGCACCCAAAAUCCUCUACGCAUUCAGAAGGUUAGACAUCUCCCGAACAUCAAACUCCUUAAUUACCCCUCCCUCCAUCAGUCUGGGCCACUCAUCCCCAUAAACAGCUCUGCAAAGAUUUUAAGGAAGAAAGGAGUUGCUUAUAGAAAUUAGAAAUCAAGAUCGGUUUCUGUGUCUGAAAUCACAUGGCCUUCUGAAAGGGAAGAAUACCCUCAUCCUGACAUUAAGUUGCAGAGUCUCAAAACAGACUUAAAAUGGCAGAAAAGCCAGUAGCUAUUUCAGUACACAAGGAUUAAUUAAUAGAAAAGCAAAUCUGAGGACUUUUGUUGUCCUGCAUUCUGGAUGCUAUUAACCAGUAAUUUCAGUCCCCUUCUUCCUCAUCCUCAUCUUUGGGGAUGAAAGACAAAGUUCCCAGGACAGGUAGCAGAACGAAAGGCAGUGCCAAGUUAGCACUUACUGAAAGCACCACCUCACAUCCCUGGAUGGACAACCUCCACAGGUUCAAGGCUCAAUUUUAUAUAAGCUACAGACAGUUCCAGUGGAGCGUGCAGAUAAUCUUGAGAAAGAUUACACUGAAGUAUAAUGGUCAUAUUUGACACAAUUGAAAGGAGUAGGGUUAAAACAGUCAUUUAUCUACUACACCUUUUCAGCUUUGUGAUUAAGGGUAAAUAUCUUUCUGUAGAUUUCUUCCUACUCAGGUAGAAGUAUUCGAAAGUGCUCUGAGUUUUCGGCAAGCACACAACUCAGCACUUUAAUUGAAAGCUUGUGGGAUUAUUCACAUUCAGUUGUACAGUUUCCUGUAAAAGCAUCUACCUGUAUGUUCCCUUCUGCAUUCUCAUUUCUAGCAUUUUAGUGCAUAAACUUAGGAGCAACACAGCACACUCAUUACUGAUACAGGUGAGUGAUGCAGACAACACCUGCAAGCUUAGUGCUGCUCCUCAGAGGAGGGAAUUAAAGCAACAAAGUAUACUCAUCUUGACAGAGAUGAUACCUGGGAAGACUGGUGGGGAGGGAGGGGGGGAAGAAGAGGAGGGAAAUACAACUCUUAAUAUUCAAGAAGGGAGCAGACAAAUCUUUGAAGUUUUGACAAACUUUUCCUGAGAGCUGAAGCAUUCUGGUGCUUAGAUGGAGAAAAUAGGUCAGUUAAAAGAAAAAAGCUCUAGGCUUUCCUUAUUUGUAUUUAACAAAUGUGAUCGCUUACUGAUUCAGGGCUUGGGUUGACAGGGUUCCUCCAUUCAUUUUUCAAAGAAGCACCAAUCCCGUUCAAGAAAAAUAAUAACACAAACAUUUAAGUUGGCAAAAAUUAAACCACAUAGGUCAGAAGCAGUGUGCAACUCGGAGGUAACUCUGUGCAUCUUUACACAGCAGCCCUUUCCUGCCCACACUGAACAUGACAGUGAAGCAGACAGGGGACUGGAGUAGGGAGUUACACUCCGUGUUGUCUAAGCUCCAUGAUGAUGAACCCGGUAAACAUCAAAAGUGAGAUUUAAAAUAGAUUGGUAAUUUACUCAAAGCAUCGGUAGCUUUUUACUCUGUACUGGAAGACAGAAUAAAGUAUGCUUUUCCUUUUG
Long non-coding RNA from Gallus gallus (chicken), 19065 nucleotides. RefSeq lists it as uncharacterized. Lineage: Eukaryota; Metazoa; Chordata; Aves; Galliformes; Phasianidae. The transcript is spliced from 2 exons. The record is from RefSeq and is a predicted model, not a curated record.